Molecule: ribosomal RNA, 425 nt
Filed under: uncultured bacterium
Lineage: Bacteria
Description: partial 16S ribosomal RNA
Rfam family: Bacterial small subunit ribosomal RNA
Source: RNAcentral
GUGGGGAAUCUUGCGCAAUGGGCGAAAGCCUUACGUAGCCAUGCCGCGUGAAUGAUGAAGGUCUUAGGAUUGUAAAAUUCUUUCACCGGGGACGAUAAUGACGGUACCCGGAGAAGAAGCCCCGGCUAACUUCGUGCCAGCAGCCGCGGUAAUACGAAGGGGGCUAGCGUUGCUCGGAAUUACUGGGCGUAAAGGGCGCGUAGGCGGACAGUUUAGUCAGAGGUGAAAGCCCAGGGCUCAACCUUGGAAUUGCCUUUGAUACUGGCUGUCUUGAGUACGGGAGAGGUGAGUGGAACUCCGAGUGUAGAGGUGAAAUUCGUAGAUAUUCGGAAGAACACCAGUGGCGAAGGCGACUCACUGGCCCGUUACUGACGCUGAGGCGCGAAAGCGUGGGGAGCAAACAGGAUUAGAAACCCUUGUAGUCC